This 893-nucleotide long non-coding RNA is filed under the name Ananas comosus (pineapple). RNAcentral's name for it is "long non-coding RNA (ACOM_LNC028946)". Lineage: Eukaryota; Viridiplantae; Streptophyta; Magnoliopsida; Poales; Bromeliaceae. The record is from RNAcentral.
GCCAGUGUAGUGCCUUUGGACCAGUGUAGUGUCCGCAGGCGGUCUCGAGGUAGGUGAAUAGCUAGCCACCUCCCUAGGAGACUUACAGACGUGAGACAGUGAGCGAGCCCCGCGAGUUCGCUGAGAGAUUGGGUGACCUGAUGAGUUGCAUUGUUGUUUUGUAUGAUAGCUUGGCACUUAGCCUUAGCCUUAUUGAUGAACCUAGUAGCAUGGUAGCUAACCUUUACUAUGAGUUACAUCAACAUUGAGUAUAGUCGCUUGGUAGUCAGAAUAGUGGAUUUGCCUACAUACAGUGAGUGGACAUACUAUUCUUUCACCUAUGAGAUUUGAGUGAGAUAGCCCUGUACCUAGUCGAGAUUGAGUCGAACCAUCGAGAUGUGAGUCGGGCAAAGAGCGGGGUAGCUCUUUGCCUAGGACCUUCGAGAUGUGAGUCGGACCUACGAGUUAUGAGUCGGGCAAGGAGCGGGGUAGCUCUUUGUCUAGGACCCUUGAGAUAUGAGUUAGGCGGGAAAAGAGCGGGGUAGCUCUUUACCUACUGGAUUUGAGACCUUAGGCAAGAUUGGCCUAGUCGAUUGGGUUGUAACAGGAUUAGCAUAAGUGGAUUGCAUUCAUACCAUGAUUAGACAUAGUAAACUGCAUAACUAUGUUGUAGUUGUAUUCAUUACACUGUUGAAACAUACUAGCAUGAUAGUAGGAUAUUGCUAGAUGAUGUGACAUGCAUUCCUUGCAUUUGAUGGCAUAGUAGAUAUAGUAGCANCUUGCGUUCGCCGAGAGAUUGGGUAAUCGGAUGAAUGAUUUCGUUAUUGAGCAUGGUAGUAUGAUAGCCAGCCUUCUUACUAUGAGUUCCAUGCAUGCAUCAUACUGGAUUGAGGCAUUGAUAGAUCAUAGUUCAU